Molecule: microRNA, 21 nt
Filed under: Mus musculus (house mouse)
Lineage: Eukaryota; Metazoa; Chordata; Mammalia; Rodentia; Muridae
Description: mmu-miR-6988-5p
Source: miRBase by way of RNAcentral
GGGGUGGAGAGCUGAGGCCCA